GCAUCAGGACUAAAGCUGGUUCCAAACCUAACGUUGUUGGUAGAGGAAAGCUCUUUGGUGUACUUCCUCUUCUCCUCUGCUGGCAACCCAAAGAAACGAUGGGUCGCAUCCUUAACACCAUCGAGUACCUCGAGUGGCACGCCAUGGUUAACCAGCUGAAAGAAGCCAAAUUUCUCUGCAGCUUCACAGACUGAUUCUGCAACUUUGGGGUCAUUAUCCCAAUUGGACAAAUC
RNAcentral lists this unclassified non-coding RNA (233 nucleotides) under Hevea brasiliensis (rubber tree). Lineage: Eukaryota; Viridiplantae; Streptophyta; Magnoliopsida; Malpighiales; Euphorbiaceae. The record is from RNAcentral.